Molecule: ribosomal RNA, 521 nt
Filed under: uncultured Glomeraceae
Lineage: Eukaryota; Fungi; Glomeromycota; Glomeromycetes; Glomerales; Glomeraceae
Description: SSU rRNA
Rfam family: Eukaryotic small subunit ribosomal RNA
Source: RNAcentral
AGCAGCCGCGGUAAUUCCAGCUCCAAUAGCGUAUAUUAAAGUUGUUGCAGUUAAAAAGCUCGUAGUUGAAUUUCGGGAUCAAUAUGUUGGUCGUGCCUUGGUACGUACUGGCAUUAUUGGUUUCUACCUUCUGAAGAAUCUCGAUGUCAUUAAUUUGGUGUCUUGGGGAAUCAGGACUGUUACUUUGAAAAAAUUAGAGUGUUUAAAGCAGGCUCACGCUUGAAUACAUUAGCAUGGAAUAAUGAAAUAGGACGUUUGAUUCUAUUUUGUUGGUUUCUAGGAUCGACGUAAUGAUUAAUAGGGAUAGUUGGGGGCAUUAGUAUUCAAUUGUCAGAGGUGAAAUUCUUGGAUUUAUUGAAGACUAACUACUGCGAAAGCAUUUGCCAAGGAUGUUUUCAUUAAUCAAGAACGAAAGUUAGGGGAUCGAAGACGAUCAGAUACCGUCGUAGUCUUAACCAUAAACUAUGCCGACUAGGGAUCGGAUGAUGUUAAUUUUUUAAUGACUCAUUCGGCGCCUUACG